Molecule: ribosomal RNA, 269 nt
Filed under: uncultured bacterium
Lineage: Bacteria
Description: partial 16S ribosomal RNA
Rfam family: Bacterial small subunit ribosomal RNA
Source: RNAcentral
CUUCGCUGACGAGUGGCGGACGGGUGAGUAAUGUCUGGGAAACUGCCUGAUGGAGGGGGAUAACUACUGGAAACGGUAGCUAAUACCGCAUAAUGUCGCAAGACCAAAGAGGGGGACCUUCGGGCCUCUUGCCAUCGGAUGUGCCCAGAUGGGAUUAGCUUGUUGGUGGGGUAACGGCCCACCAAGCCUUCGAUGGAUAGGGGUUCUGAGAGGAAGGUCCCCCACAUUGGAACUGAGACACGGUCCAAACUCCUACGGGAGGCAGCAUG